GCCCUUCGGGGUACUCGAGCGGCGAACGGGUGAGUAACACGUGAGUAACCUGCCCCUGACUCUGGGAUAAGCCUGGGAAACUGGGUCUAAUACCGGAUACGACCAUUUCUCGCAUGGGAUGGUGGUGGAAAGUUUUUUCGGUUGGGGAUGGGCUCGCGGCCUAUCAGCUUGUUGGUGGGGUGAUGGCCUACCAAGGCGACGACGGGUAGCCGGCCUGAGAGGGCGACCGGCCACACUGGGACUGAGACACGGCCCAGACUCCUACGGGAGGCAGCAGUGGGGAAUAUUGCGCAAUGGGCGGAAGCCUGACGCAGCGACGCCGCGUGGGGGAUGACGGCCUUCGGGUUGUAAACCUCUUUCAGCAGGGACGAAGUUGACGUGUACCUGUAGAAGAAGCGCCGGCUAACUACGUGCCAGCAGCCGCGGUAAUACGUAGGGCGCAAGCGUUGUCCGGAAUUAUUGGGCGUAAAGAGCUCGUAGGUGGCUUGUCGCGUCUGCCGUGAAAGCCCGUGGCUUAACUACGGGUCUGCGGUGGAUACGGGCAGGCUAGAGGCUGGUAGGGGCAAGCGGAAUUCCUGGUGUAGCGGUGAAAUGCGCAGAUAUCAGGAGGAACACCGGUGGCGAAGGCGGCUUGCUGGGCCAGUUCUGACGCUGAGGAGCGAAAGCG
Molecule: ribosomal RNA, 667 nt
Filed under: Microbispora sp. PHPB6
Lineage: Bacteria; Bacillati; Actinomycetota; Actinomycetes; Streptosporangiales; Streptosporangiaceae
Description: bacterial SSU rRNA
Rfam family: Bacterial small subunit ribosomal RNA
Source: RNAcentral